Molecule: long non-coding RNA, 478 nt
Filed under: Populus trichocarpa (black cottonwood)
Lineage: Eukaryota; Viridiplantae; Streptophyta; Magnoliopsida; Malpighiales; Salicaceae
Description: long non-coding RNA (PTRI_LNC003510)
Source: RNAcentral
CAAUGAGUUGCAAAUUCUGGUCGAUGGAGAAGAGAAGAAGAAGGCAAAUUUCCUUUCAUCCGAAGAUUUUGAGCCCCCACUUAUCCCUGCCAAGACCAUCCCUGAUCCAGAUGAUGUGAAACCUGAGGAUUGGGAUGAGAGAGCAAAGAUUCCUGAUCCCGAGGCAGUGAAGCCAGAUGACUGGGAUGAGGAUGCACCUAUGGAAAUUGAAGAUGAGGAUGCUGUUAAACCUGAAGGAUGGUUGGAUGAUGAGCCUGAGGAGAUUGAUGAUCCUGAGGCAACCAAACCAGAAGAUUGGGAUGAGGAGGAAGAUGGUGAGUGGGAGGCACCCAAGACUGAUAACCCAAAGUGUCAGGAAGGCCCAGGUUGUGGUGAAUGGAAGAGGCCAAUGAAGAGAAAUCCAGCAUACAAGGGAAAAUGGCAUGCUCCACUUAUUGACAACCCCAACUAUAAGGGCAUUUGGAAGCCUCAAGAGAUC